CUUAAAUGUAGAGUGCAUUUUUUUAGAGAUUAGAAAUUCCCUUCGGGGCUUUCUGCAAGGUGCUGCAUGGUUGUCGUCAGCUCGUGCCGUGAGGUGUCGGGUUAAGUCCCAUAACGAGCGCAACCCUUAUCGUUAGUUGCCAUCUGGUAAUGCAGGGGACUCUAGCGAAACUGCCACCGUAAGGUGAGAGGAAGGUGGGGAUGACGUCAAAUCAGCACGGCCCUUAUGUCCAGGGCUACACACGUGUUACAAUGGUCGGUACAGAGGGCAGCUACCUGGUGACAGGAUGCUAAUCUCGAAAACCGGUCUCAGUUCGGAUCGAAGUCUGCAACUCGACUUCGUGAAGCUGGAUUCGCUAGUAAUCGCGCAUCAGCUAUGGCGCGGUGAAUACGUUCCCGGGCCUU
RNAcentral lists this ribosomal RNA (404 nucleotides) under uncultured Sphingobacteriales bacterium. Its description in RNAcentral is "bacterial SSU rRNA". It matches the Rfam family "Bacterial small subunit ribosomal RNA", at positions 980 to 1382 of the family's 1533-position model. Lineage: Bacteria; Pseudomonadati; Bacteroidota; Sphingobacteriia; Sphingobacteriales. The record is from RNAcentral.